GUCGAGGGAGAUUGUUGGAUUCGUCUGACAUGAAACCGGCGCACGGGUGCGUAACACGUAUGCAACCUACCUUUAACUGGGGUAUAGCUCAGAGAAAUCUGAAUUAAUCCCCCAUAAGACUACGACAUGGCAUCAUGAUGUAGUUAAAGCUCCGGCGGUUAAGGAUGGGCAUGCGGUACAUUAGCUAGUUGGUGAGGUAAUGGCUCACCAAGGCUACGAUGUAUAGGGGGUCUGAGAGGAUGAUCCCCCACACUGGUACUGAGACACGGACCAGACUCCUACGGGAGGCAGCAGUAGGGAAUAUUGGUCAAUGGACGCAAGUCUGAACCAGCCAUGCCGCGUGAAGGAUGAAGGCCCUAUGGGUCGUAAACUUCUUUUAUUAGGGAAGAAAAAAUGGGAUGCGUCCUAUACUGACGGUACUUAAUGAAUAAGGAUCGGCUAACUUCGUGCCAGCAGCCGCGGUAAGACGAAGGAUCCAAGCGUUGUCCGGAUUUACUGGGUUUAAAGGGUGCGUAGGCGGAAAAUUAAGUCAGUGGUGAAAGCCCGCAGCUCAACUGUGGAACUGCCAUUGAAACUGGUUUUCUUGAAUAUAGCUGAGGCAGGUGGAAUAUAACAUGUAGCGGUGAAAUGCUUAGAUAUGUUAUAGAACACCGAUUGCGAAGGCAGUCUGCUAAACUAUUAUUGACGCUGAGGCACGAAAGCGUGGGGAGCGAACAGGAUUAGAUACCCUGGUAGUCCACGCCCUAAACG
This 750-nucleotide ribosomal RNA is filed under the name uncultured bacterium. RNAcentral's name for it is "bacterial SSU rRNA". It matches the Rfam family "Bacterial small subunit ribosomal RNA", at positions 61 to 808 of the family's 1533-position model. The record is from RNAcentral.